GGGAGAGGCGCAGGUCCGGGGGCACAGGUGGCCCAGGAGGGGCCGUGUUGGGCGGCUGCAAGGUGCCGGCGCUGGCCAGAGGGGAGCUGGCAGAGUGUGAGGAGAAUGUGGGGGAUGUGCCGGCAGUGAGAAUGGGGAAGAAGAGAGCCUGCAGAUUGCGGGGCACACUGCCACCCUCUCUGAUCCCCCCCAGCUGAAGCUAGCUGGGCUCUAAGAGCUUAAGAAGCUGGUGGGCAGGUGAGCCCAUGCUGAGUUCAGGACCUGCCACAGACCCUGGGACACCCAGUGAGCAGGGGUGGUUCUGGUCAGGGCAGGUGAGGUUCUGGUCAGGGCAGGUGAGGGUCAGCUUCCAGGAGGGCGGAAAGCAGCCGCUGAGCAAGGGCCGGGUGCCACACCUCCCUUCCCACCCCACCAGGAGCACCGGGGGCUGCUGACCAUCCGCUACCCCAUGGAGCACGGCGUGGUGCGAGACUGGAACGACAUGGAACGCAUCUGGCAGUACGUCUACUCCAAGGACCAGCUGCAGACCUUCUCGGAGGAGCAUCCUGUGCUCCUCACGGAGGCCCCGCUCAACCCGAGUAAGAACCGGGAGAAGGCGGCAGAGGUGUUCUUUGAGACCUUCAACGUGCCGGCCCUGUUCAUCUCCAUGCAGGCUGUGCUCAGUCUGUGAGUGCCCCCUAAGCCUGGCCUCCCUGAGUCCUGUCCUCCCUGUGCCGUCCUGCUUGCCAUGA
This 731-nucleotide small RNA is filed under the name Pan troglodytes (chimpanzee). RNAcentral describes it as "retained intron". Lineage: Eukaryota; Metazoa; Chordata; Mammalia; Primates; Hominidae. The record is from RNAcentral.